RNAcentral lists this ribosomal RNA (486 nucleotides) under uncultured bacterium. RNAcentral describes it as "partial 16S ribosomal RNA". It matches the Rfam family "Bacterial small subunit ribosomal RNA", at positions 30 to 507 of the family's 1533-position model. The record is from RNAcentral.
AUUGAACGCUGGCGGCAUGCCUUACACAUACCAGUCGAACGGCAGCACGGGUGCUUGCACCUGGUGGCGAGUGGCGAACGGGUGAGUAAUACAUCGGAACAUGUCCUGUAGUGGGGGAUAGCCCGGCGAAAGCCGGAUUAAUACCGCAUACGAUCUACGGAUGAAAGCGGGGGACCUUCGGGCCUCGCGCUAUAGGGUUGGCCGAUGGCUGAUUAGCUAGUUGGUGGGGUAAAGGCCUACCAAGGCGACGAUCAGUAGCUGGUCCGAGAGGACGACCAGCCACACUGGGACUGAGACACGGCCCAGACUCCUACGGGAGGCAGCAGUGGGGAAUUUUGGACAAUGGGCGAAAGCCUGAUCCAGCAAUGCCGCGUGUGUGAAGAAGGCCUUCGGGUUGUAAAGCACUUUUGUCCGGAAAGAAAUCCUUGGCUCUAAUACAGUCGGGGGAUGACGGUACCGGAAGAAUAAGCACCGGCUAACUACGUG